ACCCGAACUGUGCCUUUGGCGGUCUCAAGCCCGCAUGCGAAAACAGGAGAGGGGU
RNAcentral lists this non-coding RNA (55 nucleotides) under unclassified sequences. The record is from RNAcentral.